Molecule: ribosomal RNA, 274 nt
Filed under: uncultured bacterium
Lineage: Bacteria
Description: partial 16S ribosomal RNA
Rfam family: Bacterial small subunit ribosomal RNA
Source: RNAcentral
AUACGGAGGGGGCUAGCGUUGUUCGGAUUUACUGGGCGUAAAGCGCACGUAGGCGGAUUGUUAAGUCGGGGGUGAAAGCCCGGGGCUCAACCCCGGAACUGCCUCCGAUACUGGCAAUCUUGAGGUCGGGAGAGGUGAGUGGAAUUCCUAGUGUAGAGGUGAAAUUCGUAGAUAUUAGGAGGAACACCAGUAGCGAAGGCGGCUCACUGGCCCGAUUCUGACGCUGAGGUGCGAAAGCGUGGGGAGCAAACAGGAUUAGAAACCCCGGUAGUCC